ACUCACGGCCUCCUGGGCCGUGGGGACGGGUCCCCCGUGUGGGGAUACCGCCGCAUGGGCCUUCGCCUCCCUUCGAUUAUAUCCCAUCUGUGAACACUUCCACUGUUGCUUCCGUGAGCCUGCUGCUGACUCCUUCUGGGGGUGAGCGCCUGAAAAGCCCUGGCUCUGCUAGGGGCGCACGGCAAUGCUACAAUCACCCUGGUUUUAUGUAUCUCCAGUCUGAGUGGUGAAACACAUCAAACAAGUUAAAACUUUCAACAACGGAUCUCUUGGUUCUCGCAUCGAUGAAGAACGCAGCGAAAUGCGAUAAGUAGUGUGAAUUGCAGAAUUCAGUGAAUCAUCGAAUCUUUGAACGCACAUUGCGCCUCCUGGUAUUCCGGGAGGCAUGCCUGUUCGAGCGUCAUGAACAACAUCCUCAAGCAUUCUUGCUUGGUUGUGGAGGAAGAGGGUCCUUGGACCGUCCCCUCUGGAAUUUCUCAGCAGAGACCGCAACAGCCUCAGGUGUGAUAACAUUACCUCGCUUGAGGGCUGCAGUGGGCUCCCGCUGCGUUGAUCCCCCCAGCAAUACUAUGUUUGACCUCGGAUCAGGUAGGGAUACCCGCUGAACUUAAGCAU
RNAcentral lists this ribosomal RNA (615 nucleotides) under Pseudoplectania episphagnum. RNAcentral describes it as "eukaryotic LSU rRNA". The stretch from base 250 to 403 matches the Rfam family "5.8S ribosomal RNA". Lineage: Eukaryota; Fungi; Ascomycota; Pezizomycetes; Pezizales; Sarcosomataceae. The record is from RNAcentral.